Molecule: long non-coding RNA, 786 nt
Organism: Zonotrichia leucophrys gambelii
Lineage: Eukaryota; Metazoa; Chordata; Aves; Passeriformes; Passerellidae
Exons: 2
Source: RefSeq, a predicted model, not a curated record
GGAUCUGGAGUCAGUUGGCUGCGUUGUGAGGAAGAAAGAGUCAGUGCUCUGAGGAGAUGACCAUGAGAAACACCAAGAAGUUUUUAGGUAUCCCAGAAAGAGGAAGCUGACUAUGAAACUAUAUUACAGAAAUCUGAGGAGUAUUUUGUCCCACCUGAAAACAUAUGAAUAUAUACAGAAAAAGAUGGAUUUUGGCAGAGAUUGUGUGAAUGGGAGAAAAACAUAGAGGAGCUUCUGACUGAUAUAAGACUGUAGAGCUAGGCUUGCAAUUUUCAGUACCUGUAUCUUGAAUAAGAGAACAGAUCUUGAAAAGAAGAGACACAGAAUUAAGCUAUGAUUAAAGCAAAUAGAAUUCACCAAUCAAAACAAGCAAUGUAAUACAAGCCUUUAAUUUGUGGAUGGUUUGCAAUCUGGACAUGACAGAAAAUUCAAAACAUUAAAGGAACGGAGGGUUCAGCUAGAAAGGCAUGAAAACCUCAAAGACACUUCACAAAUAAAUACCACAAGAGCAGCACGAGCUGAAAGCAAAUGGGACAUUUCUUAUUCCUAACUGCAAUACAGGAGACCAAUUAAUGAGCUGUCAGAAACAGUUACUUCCCAACUGGAGGAAAAGCCAUAGGUAGCAGAAGGUAAGGAAGUGAAAUUAAAGACUUAGGGAAGGAGGAUUAUGUCGCUAAGUGAUUUUUUUUCCUGGAUGUAUGGGUAAAGAAUUCUCAAAGAUACAGAUUUUAAUAUUACAAGGAAAACUUAAUAUACCUUCUUUAAUAAAAAAGACAUGAUCCCUUA